AGAGUUUGAUCCUGGCUCAGGAUGAACGCUAGCUACAGGCUUAACACAUUGCAAGUCGAGGGGCAGCAUUGUCGAAGCUUGCUUUGACAGAUGGCGACCGGCGCACGGGUGAGUAACGCGUAUCCAACCUUCCCCAUAGUAGGGCAUAGCCCGUAGAAAUGCGGAUUAAUACCCUAUGUAUUCCGAGGAUGACAUCUGAUUCGGAACAAAGGUUCACCGCUAUGGGAUGGGGAUGCGUCUGAUUAGGUAGUCGGCGGGGUAACGGCCCACCGAGCCAUCGAUCAGUAGGGGUUCUGAGAGGAAGGUCCCCCACAUUGGAACUGAGACACGGUCCAAACUCCUACGGGAGGCAGCAGUGAGGAAUAUUGGUCAAUGGGCGCGAGCCUGAACCAGCCAAGUAGCGUGCAGGAUGACGGCCCUAUGGGUUGUAAACUGCUUUUAUACAGGGAUAAAGUGCACCACGUGUGGUGUUUUGUAGGUACUGUAUGAAUAAGGACCGGCUAAUUCCGUGCCAGCAGCCGCGGU
This 525-nucleotide ribosomal RNA is filed under the name uncultured Prevotella sp. Its description in RNAcentral is "bacterial SSU rRNA". It matches the Rfam family "Bacterial small subunit ribosomal RNA", at positions 8 to 521 of the family's 1533-position model. Lineage: Bacteria; Pseudomonadati; Bacteroidota; Bacteroidia; Bacteroidales; Prevotellaceae. The record is from RNAcentral.